AGUGAACGCUGGCGGUAGGCCUAACACAUGCAAGUCGAACGGCAGCACAGUAAGAGCUUGCUCUUACGGGUGGCGAGUGGCGGACGGGGGAGGAAUACAUCGGAAUCUACGUGUUCGUGGGGGAGAACGUAGGGAAACUUACGCUAAUACCGCAUACGACCUACGGGUGAAAGCAGGGGAUCUUCGGACCUUGCGCGAUUGAAGGAGCCGAUGUCGGAUUAGCUAGUUGGCGGGGUAAAGGCCCACCAAGGCGACGAUCCGUAGCUGGUCUGAGAGGAUGAUCAGCCACACUGGAACUGAGACACGGUCCAGACUCCUACGGGAGGCAGCAGUGGGGAAUAUUGGACAAUGGGCGCAAGCCUGAUCCAGCCAUACCGCGUGGGUGAAGAAGGCCUUCGGGUUGUAAAGCCCUUUUGUUGGGAAAGAAAAGCAGCAGGUUAAUACCCCGCUGUUCUGACGGUACCCAAAGAAUAAGCACCGGCUAACUUCGUG
This 492-nucleotide ribosomal RNA is filed under the name uncultured bacterium. RNAcentral's name for it is "partial 16S ribosomal RNA". It matches the Rfam family "Bacterial small subunit ribosomal RNA", at positions 29 to 507 of the family's 1533-position model. The record is from RNAcentral.